This 5823-nucleotide long non-coding RNA is filed under the name Theobroma cacao (cacao). RNAcentral's name for it is "long non-coding RNA (TCAC_LNC005162)". The record is from RNAcentral. Lineage: Eukaryota; Viridiplantae; Streptophyta; Magnoliopsida; Malvales; Malvaceae.
UUUAUAAAAAUGCAAAAAAUCAGCCCAUUUCUCCCAUAGUGAUCAGCCAAACCAGAAGAGAAGAGAAACCAAGGAAGAACAAAAACCCUAGGUGGAGAAUUGGUGAAAAUUCAAGGAAACAAGUGACAAAAGGUAAAAUUUCUUGAUUUUGACAUGUGAUCUACCUUUUCCAUGUAUUUCUCCUCAUUUUCCAUGGUUCAAUUACAUAUUUUCAUGAUUAAUUUAUGGCUGGUUAGAAUGGGUAUGGAGAGAGAAUGAUGUUAGAUUGAUUUGAUUCUAAGUUAUGUUAGUGUUUUUAGUUAGUUAACAUGUUUAGAAACAAAACAACAAGAAAAGAAUCCAUUUUCCCCAUGAAUCUUCAAUGGCCGAACCCUUUGUGAAGUGUAGAAGUAAUGAAUUGAUUUUGUGAUCAAGUGAAUUGGUUGAAAAAUUGAUGAAGUGAUGAUUUAUGGUGGGAAAAUGGAAUGGGAAAAUUUUUAGUGAUAGUGCACCACAAUGGCUGAAAUUUUCAAGAAGAAUUGUGAGGGUUGUUAGGCUGAAUUUUAGAUUAUUAGAAUUUUAUUUAGUGAAUUGAAAUAUUAGAAAUGAAAAUGGAGCAAUUUGGAGCCAAAUCGGACACAAUUGUCAUUUAAUCGGGUAAUAGGCCGAAUUAGGUCAGUACCGCAUUUAAGCGAUAGUCGAAUAAGUUGCAUAUCAUAUCAUGCAUAUACACCGAGCCUGAAUUGAUUUUAUAAUGGUCAAGCAUUGAUGUGGUGAAUUAUGUAUUGUACAUUGUGGAUAGGUGGUGAGUAAAUUACACUGGUAAAAGUACAGAGAUUGUGCUUUGAGACUGGGAUUAGGAGUGCAUCGACUCCUAGAACUGUGAGUGAACUUAUUAUCGUCUUAAUUAUCUAGAAUAGUUUUAUACAAUUGUGUGAUUUUAUGGAAAAAUGAGUUUAAAUGGUAAAUUGCUAUGUUUUAGGAGAAAUUGUGAUUUUAUAAAAUGAUUUUAUAAAUUUUUUGAAAAAUUGAGUACUAGUUUUGAAAAUAGAGUAAUUGGAGACUGCUUGCUUGUGUUGUAAAUUUAUGGUUUUAAAUUGAAUGGCUUAUGACAAUAUAUGAGCAUGAAUGGCUAAACUGAUUUUUGGUGUUAGAAUUAUUUGUAUUGUGUAUUCAGCCUUGAGAGGCUAGGUUGCAAUAAAUUGCCAUGUCAUGUAGAAAAAGAUUUUAUAAAUCAGGUGGUAGAUAAAAUAAUCCAUAGUCACUACAAUGGUGGGGGUUUUCGUGGACUGCCUAUGAGAGGGGCACGGUAACCCAAUUAUAUAUUUACCUCUGGGGAGAGAUAUUGGAUGAAGUAUCUCCUGAGGUAAAGAUUUGACUGCACUUCACGUGGACCACCGCGUGAGAGUGAGACUCAGCCAACGCCAAGGCAUGGUUAAAAUUUUGGAUGUAAAGACAUUUAACAGCCUUGGCGGACUCGAUUGGGAUAACCCUCGAUCAAGGUAUCCUUGAUAACUGAGUAUGAGAAUGAUUUUUUUGGCACGAGCCAAGCGUUUCAGGAAAUCAUAAGCCUAGUUAUUUAUUUGGUUGAAAUAAGUUGAAAGGUAAUGAAAUUACAAUAUGAUGACUUAUUUUAAUUCAUCUCCAUUUACUCGCCUUUAGAUAGUUUAGAUGGUGUCUGUUUACUCACUGAGAUUUUAUAAUCUCACCACCCUCAUUUCCUUACAUUUUAGGCUCGGAGAAUUCCAUAGUUAGCUGACUUUGACAAUGACCUUCAUUUGGACUUGAAUCGGCAAAAGUUGUAGGUUUUCAGCUUCCGAUACAUUUUGGUUAGAUGUGGGCCCACGUGUCGCUAUAAAAGUAAUUUUAUGCUUUGGUUAUUUGCUUUAUAGUAUAUAUGAAUAUAAUUAACUUUUACGCUAUAAGAAUUAUUUACCGAUAGCUUUAUAAAAAUUAUUUUACAAGAAAAUAGUUUAUUUUAUUUAAUAUUUUUAUUAUAUUCAAAUGGUCAAAUUUUCACUUCAAAUGAACAUUUUAGAUACUUAAUUUGUUUUUAAAUCACUAAAUAUAUAUUUUCUCCUUACCUACUACAUUUUUAGCAAGUUUUGAGAUUUUCGACAAAAAAUGACGAAAAUGUCCCUGUGAGCUAGAAAACAAUAUGUUAUGUUCUGAUUUGGAAAUGACUCGUAAUCCUUCGAAUUAUGAUAUUUGAUAACUAUUGCUCACUGGAGAAGUGCGAAAACUAAUACGAGAGCCUUGCGAGGUUUCGAUCGGCAUUUGGGGUGAAGAAUGUCUGUCGAGGCUUCGCGGCGGUUGUCACGGGCUCGAUGAGAGUUUCGGGUCAUGACAUUUACUUUCUUGAAAAAUAUUAUUUUUACUUGCAAACGACUACCCGAUGAUAAGAUUUACUCGUUAAACUUGCGAAGGCGAGUUUCCCUAAUAAUUCCUUAGGUGAGAGAAUAUUCUCAUAUCCCACUAGUAUGAUGGGCAAAUUCAGAAAAUAUCUUCGAUAAAAGGUUUCGUUUGGCAUUACACAGAUUUUUGUCAUACAUUUCAUAAUCGCAUCAUACGCACGUCACACUCGUAAAACUAAAUAAAAUAUUUUAAUUUAUUAAUAGAAUAAAAGAUAAAAUAAAUAAAUAAUAAUUAAAGAAACAUAAGAAUAAAAGUAAUGGGUUAGGAUAAUAUAUAAUUAAAUGGUACAGUUUGUAGAACGGGCAUCAUAGGGGAUGCUAAUCCUUCCCUAUGCGUAACUGUACUCUCAAAUCCAACUUUAGAUAAAAUACGUAGACCGGUUUAUCAUUUUUUCGAUGGAUUUAAAAUCAAUUUAAGAUUUCGUCGAAUAAAACCAAUUUAAUAGGUACCUAGAUAAAAAAUAUUGGUGGAGAUGAAAUGCCCCAUACUUUGAUAUGGUGAUAAAUAAAGAUUAUCGAUGCUAAUCGAGGCCAAUUAAAAUGUUUAAAUGUGAUGGAAGAUUAAAGGAGUAGUUUAGAAUAAAAUGAUCCGCACGCGAGAAAAUAAUAAUAAAAUAAUAAUAAAUUUUAUCGGAGGAGAAUUUGUGAGAUAAAAGGUGAUUCGGAAGUCAAGUGAGGCAUAAUAAGGUCUUUUAGGCACCAAGGAGACAAGAUAAAAUUUUUAGAAUAAAGUAAUAUUAAAAUAUUAAUAUUUAGCCGGAUAUCGAAAUCAGUCAUGAAAAAAGAUCAUAUGGUUGAUCCAAGUGGGGGAGAAGAAAUACAAGUGAAUUUUUGUAGAAAUAAGCAACAAAAGUAAAAUACGCGUAUUUGGUUAAGUCGAAUCAAAGCAGAUAAGUAAAUAUUUAAAUAUUGUGAUAAUACCGCGUUGAGGUGCAAUUUGUAUAUUUCGGUGGUACACGCAUCGAGAAAGAAAGUUAGAUGAAAAUUGAAAUUUUUAGACAUAUUAAAAGGAUCGAAUUUAACAUAUAANGAUCUAUACCGCGUUGAGGUGCAAUUUGUAUAUUUCGGUGGUACACGCAUCGAGAAAGGAAGUUAGAUGAAAAUUGGAAUUUUUAGAUGUAUUAAAAGGAUCGAAUUUAACAUAUAAAGAUUUAAAGGAUAUAUAGUGAAAUUAAUGAGAAAAAUAAAAUGAAUAGAGUAAAAUAAUAAUAAUAUAUAAAAAAAAUAUUAGAAGACCAACAUGGGCAGCCGCCUAUGUGGUCAAUAAAAGAGUCAAAGACUCUUGGUGAAUUGGAGGGGGGGGGUCGGCCAUGUGGAACACAUAGUGAAGGAAGAAAAAAAUUUUGAUGUGGCUGGCCAUGAUGGAAUAUUGUGGAAGAUUCAUGAAGGCAUAAAAUAUAUAUAUAUAUAUACCAUUGAGUAAGCUAAGUCAAGAGACAAAGAAGAAGAGAGGUCGGUUGAGGAGAGUAAAAGAGAAAUAAAAGAGCAAAGGAAGAAGAAAGAACAGAGAGAAAGAAAAACAAAAAGAAAAUCGUGCAUGAGAAAGGAAAACAAAAGGAAAAGAGAGCUGAGUUGAGGGGCUGAUUUUGCUACCAUUCAAGAAGAAAAAGAGAGCCAUUUAAGGGCCGGUUUUGGAGGCUGAAAAGAGCCAUUUUUUUGCUGGUUUUGGAGGCUGAAAAGUGCCAUUUUUCUGCUGGUUUUGGAGGCCAAAAGUUGCAGAAUUUUGUAGCAAAAAAUUUAACUUUUGAGGUACUGUUUUGAUGGUUAAUUGUUGUUUUGGUUGCAAAUUUUUUUAAGGGAAAGGUGCAGCUUAGUUGCUGAAAUUUUAAGGAAAACAAAGCAGCAUAGCUGCUGAUUUUGAAGCAAAAAUAAGAAGCCUUAGCUGCUGAAAAAUUAAAAGUUGAAAGGCAAGAAAGGGUGACUGGUGGUGAGAGGGAGAAAGAGGAAGAAAGUGGGAUGGUUUGUGCAUGUGAAGAGAAGAAAAAGGAAGACAACAAGGCUGCUGGACGGUGGGAGAGAAAGAAAAGAAAAGAAAAGAAAAGAAAGGUAAAGAAAAUAACAAGGAAAAUGGGCAUGGCCCAACAAGCAAGAAAAAUGGACAUGGUCCAAUAAAGGAAAAAUGGACAUGGUCCAAUUAAAAAGAAAUGGGAGAAGUCCAUGAAUAAGAGUCCAAAAACAACAAAGGAAGAAAAAUUCAAAAGAAAAGGAAGGUGGAGAUUUGGGCCAACCUAGCUUAAUUGGGUAAAAUUUCUUUACUUUUCACCAUGAUUUAUUUUGAAAUUGGACUAUAUAGAGGCUAGCUUAUUUUAUUUAAUUAUGCAUUGGUUAGUUGGUAAUAUGAAGUAAAUUUAAGUUGCUUAGAAGGUUGAAAUAGGCACUUAAUACCGUAAAUAAGUUACUAAUGUUAAUAAUCUAAAGAAUUACGUGAGUAAAGGAUACAAUUAAUUAUAGUAAAAUUAUAUUAAGAUAUGAAUUAUGUGAGUGGAUUUAUAAUAGAAUGAGAGGAAGGGAAGUGGAAUUAAUGCACUAAAUAUAGUGGAUUUAAAUUGUGUUAGGAAAGUUAAUGUGGAAGCGUGUCGAGCAAAGUAUAUGAUUGGCAAUUAUGAGUAAUUGUACGUGUAUAUGAAGUAAUAGCGACGUAGAAAUCCAGCUAUUGUGAUGUGAGUAACCUUACCAUCAUUUUUUUUAUCUAAAGUAUGUUUUUAUUCGGUUUUGGUGAAAUUUUAUAAAAAAGAGUUUAAAUGGUAAAUCUUUGUGUUUUACAAACAAAAUGUAUUUACAUGAAAAGAUUUUAUAAAUUGUCUUGAAAUCGAAUAAUGAUUUUGAAAAAUAGAGUGAUUGGAGACCACUUGUUAUAUUGUAAAUUUAUGAUUUGAAAUCGAAUGGCUUAUGACAAUAUUUGCAUGAAUGGCUGAAUUGAUAUUUGUGUUGAAAUGUAUGAGAUAUGUAUUUAGCCUUGAAAGGUUGUGAAUUACAAUAAUUGCCAUAUCAUGUUAUUGAAUUUUAUUGUAUGAUGGGUUUAGCUUGCUGCAGUGGGCGAAUUUUAUGGACCAGCCUAUUAGAGGGGCACAGAAUCCGGAUAUAUAUAUGUACCUCGGUCGGAGAGGCACGUAAGGUAUCUCUUGAGGUAUGGACAGAGUUCACGUCACACCGAACCACCUCAUGAUGAUGAACUCCGCUAACACCAAGGAAUGACGGUGUUUUUCAAACUUAAAAAAUGUUUUAUGUGUAUACGAAAUUUUAACAGUCUUGGCGGGCUCGAGUGUACGCCUCUGAUCAAGGUGUCGUCGAGUACUAUUUGAUGGCAUGAGCCAAAUGUUUAUAAAAGUCAUAAGCCUAAAUGAGAAAUUAAAUGAAAUACAACCGUUUGCAUGGGUUGGGAUGAAUUUUCAAAUUGUGAAAUACGUAUUGUGAUGGGAUAUCUUAAUUG